This 515-nucleotide ribosomal RNA is filed under the name uncultured bacterium. RNAcentral's name for it is "bacterial SSU rRNA". It matches the Rfam family "Bacterial small subunit ribosomal RNA", at positions 8 to 521 of the family's 1533-position model. The record is from RNAcentral.
AGAGUUUGAUCCUGGCUCAGGACGAACGCUGGCGGCGUGCCUAACACAUGCAAGUCGAACGAAGCAUUUAAGCUGAAUCCCUUCGGGGUGGAAGCUUUUAUGACUUAGUGGCGGACGGGUGAGUAACGCGUGAGUAACCUGCCUUUCAGAGGGGGAUAACAGUUGGAAACGACUGCUAAUACCGCAUAACGUAUUUUUAUCGCAUGAUAGAGAUACCAAAGCUGAGGCGCUGAAAGAUGGACUCGCGUCUGAUUAGAUAGUUGGUGAGGUAACGGCUCACCAAGUCGACGAUCAGUAGCCGGACUGAGAGGUUGAUCGGCCACAUUGGGACUGAGACACGGCCCAGACUCCUACGGGAGGCAGCAGUGGGGAAUAUUGCACAAUGGGCGAAAGCCUGAUGCAGCAACGCCGCGUGAGGGAAGACGGUUUUCGGAUUGUAAACCUCUGUCUUUGGUGAAGAUAAUGACGGUAGCCAAGGAGGAAGCCACGGCUAACUACGUGCCAGCAGCCGCGGU